GACGAAACAAGGCACGCGUGGCUCCGGCCGGCGUUUCCGCAAACAGAAUCGUGGAUGACUGUGUGGUGUUGAUUCAUGAGGUAUUGCUGUCAGUUCAAUUAACCAGAAAUGGAAGGUUCUGCAAAAGCAUCUGUAGAUUCUGAAACAGAAUCUCCUCCAAGUAUUACUGAAACUGCUGCUGCAUCUGGGCAGAGACUUUCUGAAAAUACUCCUAUACACCAGCAAGUAGAUGAUCUUGUAGAACAAAAUUCGAGUUAUGUGCAAGAUUCUCCAUCCAAGAAAAGAAAACUCGAUGCUGAAAUCAUCUUAGAGGAGAAACGCUCUGAGGAUGAUGGAAAUGCUUCAAAGAGAACUAAAUUGGAGAGGGUCGAUGUGUCGGAAGACGAGCCUUCCCCUGGAGGGCUUACCCAGAGAAAGAGAAAACUGCAACCUCAGGAUGUUGGGGAAACUCGGAAAUUUCAGAAGCUGGAGGAAGGACACAGCUCAGCUGUGGCUGCCCACUAUAAUGAGCUUCAGGAAGUUGGCUUGGUGAAGCGUAGUCAAAGUCGCAUUUUUUACCUAAGAAACUUUAAUAAUUGGAUUAAAAGUAUUCUUAUUGGGGAAAUUUUAGAAAAGGUACGGCAAAGAAAAAAUCGUGACAUCACUGUUUUGGACCUGGGAUGUGGCAAAGGUGGAGAUUUGCUCAAGUGGAGGAAGGGGAGAAUUAGCAGGCUAGUGUGUGCUGAUAUUGCUGAUAUUUCUAUGAAACAGUGUCAACAACGUUAUGAAGACAUGAGAUGUCGUCGUGAUAAUGAGUAUAUUUUUAGUGCAGAAUUUAUAACUGCUGACUGUUCAAAGGAACUUUUGGUUGAAAAAUUCCGUGAUCCAGAAAUGUACUUUGACAUCUGCAGCUGUCAGUUUGCUUGCCAUUACUCCUUUGAGUCCUUGGAGCAGGCUGAUACGAUGCUGAGAAAUGCCUGUGGAAGGCUUCACCCUGGCGGCUAUUUUAUUGGUACCACUCCCAAUAGCUUCGAACUGAUAAGACGCCUUGAAGCUUCAGAAACAGAAUCAUUUGGAAAUGAAAUAUACACUGUGAAAUUCCAGAAGAAAGGAAAUUAUCCUUUAUUUGGCUGCAAAUAUGACUUUAACCUGGAAGGUGUUGUGGAUGUCCCUGAAUUCUUGGUCUAUUUUCCAUUGCUAACUGAAAUGGCAAAGAAGUAUAAUAUGAAGCUAAUCUAUAAAAAAACAUUUCUGGAAUUCUAUGAAGAAAAGAUUAAGAACAAUGAAAACAAAAUGCUCUUAAAACGAAUGCAGGCCCUGGAGCCAUACCCUGCAAAUGAGAAUUCUAAACUUGCCUCUGAAAAGGUGGGUGACUACGCACAUGCAGCAGAGUACAUGAAGAACAGUCAAGUCAGGUUGCCUCUGGGAACCUUGAGUAAAUCAGAGUGGGAAGCUACAAGUAUCUACUUGGUUUUUGCCUUUGAGAAGCAGCCCUGAGCACGUCACUUCAGAGCAGCGGCAGACCAUCUCAGAAACAUUUGACAGCUGUUUGUUUAUUUUAAUAGAGAGAAGAAUUCCUCAAAGGGUGGAAUAAUUGAUGGCUAUCCCAAGCAGCAAGAAGAGAAAUGUGGAGUUCCUAGGCCCUUCCCUGAGGACUCAGAGAAAACUGGCCUGGGUCUGAGAUGGGCUCUAGUCGUUAUACCUACUGUCAAAGACAUAGGAGAGUUCCCAUGAUGUCACCCUGCAGAAACAGUUCAAGCAGCUGCCUUUUUCCUUUUGUGUUGUUCUUAUCUCUUGAACCUCCAUCCCUCCACCGCUCCUUGCAGAAGUUCAGUGACUCAGGAUGGAUUCUUGAGGACAAGAAUGGGAAGGUGGCCUUUUCCAUUGUUUCUUUCAACAAAUAAGACUUUGCCCAGCAUUCUUGGAACCUGAAUGUUUAAUUUUGUCACGACUUGUAGUACCUGAUGAGAAAGGUGUGGCUUUUCAUUGCAGCAUCCAGAAAGAGUCACUUCUCUUGGGUUCAGUGAUGAAAAUGGUUCAAAUGAGCUGUUCAGAUACACCCAGGCUUGCCACUCAGUGUAUGCUCAGGUUGUUUCCAACAGGGACUGGAGACAUGGAUCACAGGUUAAGAGUACUUGCAACUUUCAGAGAACUGGAGUUUGGUUCCCAGCACACACAUAAAGUGGUUUAGAACUACCUGUACCUCCAAUUGCAGGGACUUCAGCAUUCUCCUCUAGUCUCUGCUGGCCCCUGCACAUACAUGCAGAUACCUACACAUAAAUAAAAAUCUUUGGCAUGAUGAUCAUGUGGGCCAUUUUUGGGAGUGACACAACCUGAACUGGUAGUUGGCUUGGGGACAGAGCUGCACUGCAGUAGGAUCCAGAAUGCUGACAUGGGGUUGUUUGGGUCUAGCAUUUCCUCAGGGGAACAGGCCAGUGUAUAGUGUUGAUGGAGAGAAGCUGAGGGGUUGUCAUUCCUUCCCCAUCCUUCUGGUAACCUAACCUGUACAGAGAGCCUCAAGCCUGUCAGCUUGCGCACACACCACUUCAGUGUCCCUGAGCACUUUAGAGACCUCUUCUCCGUAAGAGAAGACUGAGUAGAGUCACUGAGUAAUGGACCUGUCUGAUGACUGAAUGGCAGAGAGAUGAUACAGAUUUCUCAAGAACAGAGUCACAUUAACACUUCUACUCUGUAGUGGGCCCUAAGUCCUAUGUUCACAUACUUCCAAGGGUGUAACAGGUAGUCCCUGCAGCUUUGAGUGUUAAUUAAAGUUCCCUUUUGACUGCUAUUUCAUCCAUAACUGCCAUCCAUUUCUAAGUGAAACCCAUUUCAUCUGGCUUGGAAUAUUAUGUGAAUAAAAUUAAAAAUAUACCCUUUGGCUUUCACUUGAUAGUGUUCAUGAGAUUUUUAUUCUCAAUAGGUGUACAUUGUUCGUUCUCAUGAUUGUACAGUAUGUCAUGUAUGAAUAAACAACAUUAUACAGUG
Molecule: RNA transcript, 2964 nt
Organism: Grammomys surdaster
Lineage: Eukaryota; Metazoa; Chordata; Mammalia; Rodentia; Muridae
Gene: Rnmt
Gene name: RNA guanine-7 methyltransferase
Exons: 12
Source: RefSeq, a predicted model, not a curated record